Non-coding RNA from Pelobates cultripes (western spadefoot toad), 477 nucleotides. The record is from the annotation of a GenBank genome assembly. Lineage: Eukaryota; Metazoa; Chordata; Amphibia; Anura; Pelobatidae.
CAGGUCCAUAAAUAUUGGGACAUCAACACAAUUCUAAUCUUUUUGGCUCUAUACACCAACACAAUGGAUUUGAAAGGAAAUGAACAAGAUGUGCUUUAACUGCAGACUUAUAGCUUUAAUUUGAGGGUAUUUACAUCCAAAUGAGGUGAACGGUGUAGGAAUUACAACAGUUUGUAUAUGUGCCGCCCACUUUUCAAGGGACCAAAAGUAAUGGGACAAUUGGCUGCUCAGCUGUUCCAUGGCCAGGUGUGCUAUUUGCAUUUGGAAUCCGUUGCUGUCAACUCUCAAUAUGAGAUCCAAAGAGCUGUCACUAUCAUUGAAGCAAGUCAUCAUUAGGCUGAAAAAACAAAACAAACCCAUCAGAGAGAUAGCAAAAACAUUAGGUGUGGCCAAAUCAACUGUUUGGCACAUCCUUAAAAAGAUAGAACGCACCAGUGAGCUCAGCAACACCAAAAGACCCGGAAGACCACAGAAAAC